This is a long non-coding RNA of Asparagus officinalis (garden asparagus), 1981 nucleotides long. RefSeq lists it as uncharacterized. The record is from RefSeq and is a predicted model, not a curated record. NCBI's taxonomy places the organism in Eukaryota, Viridiplantae, Streptophyta, Magnoliopsida, Asparagales, Asparagaceae. The transcript is spliced from 6 exons.
ACUGACUGACGAGCUCCCCGCUGGAUUCUCCUUCCUUCGCUAAUUUUUCCAUUUUCUUUCCUAAUUUCAGAAAUCAGUUAAAAUAAAAACGAGUAAAAAAGAAAAUAGAAUUUUUAUCCCAUAAAUUUCACGGUUGCGCGUCGAUCUUGGGAUCGGCCUUUGCCUACCGUACGUGGGAGGCGAAGGAGGUUCUUCUUCAAGAGGUUCUUCCUUGGUCUGUUUCUGUGGAUUUAGCACUAUUUUUCAAGAUAUGGAACUUGAGCAUGUUAUAUCAGGUUGCUAUGAGCGGGGAGUUAUAUCAUUCCACAAAGCUCUACAUUGGAGGUUCAUCAUUCAUAUGUACUUUCUUCUCAUCUCAUUUGUCAACUUUACCUAGUGGCCUCUUGGUGUUCCAUGACCUCUAUGGGUAACUCUAUUCUGAAGCUGUCAGAACUAGGGUGCCUUCUACAGAUAAUCAAACAUCAUGUGCAUUAUACAAAAACAACAUCUGCUUAGAUUUCGAGCACAACAUCGAAGAUAUAAUUUAUGGGGGUUAAUUUAUGAGCUACCAUUUCUGUUACUUUCCAGUUGGCUACAGACACAUCUAAUUGUGAACUCCAAUCAUACUGAUGCGCGUUGCUACUUUCUGAGACAAUGGAAUGAGUUCCUUGCUUAAUACAGUGAAUUAUCCUACAAGUCUUAUGGAGAAGCCAGAGCAUAUUGACAUGAGUUCUGCUUCCAUUGAAGAGUUUUAAGUUAAAUGUGCUCACUUGGUGCAUUUCCUAUCAUACUUUGUGAAAGAUUCUCCAUUUCCGUUGAUAAAAACCUUGAAGCUUCUGUUCUCUUCGCUUGAAAAGAUGGAGCGGUAUAAAAUAAUAAAGGAAAUUGGUGAUGGCGCUUUUGGAAGUGUAUGGCGUGCCAUAAAUAAACAGAGUGGUGAAAUUGUAUGUUCUCCAUAAAUAAACAGAGUGGUGAAAUUGUAUGUUCUCCAUAAAUAAACAGAGUGGUGAAAUUGUUGCAACUAAGAAAAUUAAAAGAAAAUAUUAUUCUUGGGAAUAAUGCCUGAAUCUUUGGGAAGUGAAGGCCUUGUGAAGGAUGGACCAUCCUACCAUCGUGAAACUGAAGGAGGUCAUAAGGAAAAAUGAUAUUUUGUGCUUCGUAUUUGAGUACAUGGCAGUUUUCGGUGCUUUCCUUGAUUGUUAUUGUACUGCAGUAGCGGGGUUAUGACAUAUUCUUAUGACUUUUUUCUUGAAUGUUGUCAAGGAAUGCAAUCCUUACUAGCUUAUAAAAGAUAGAAGCAAGCUUUUCUGAGAGUCUGAGGUCUGGAAUUGGUGUUUUCAAAUAUUUCAAGCUCUUGCUUGUAUGCACCAACAUGGUUACUUUCACCGUGACCUCAAGCCUGGUAGUAUAUUACUACAACGCUGACAUAUCUAUUUACUGCAUAUUGUCGUUUGCCUCAUUCUGAUGCGUCUUUUGGCACCAGAGUGCAAGAGAUUAGUUUUCUUACGUUCGGAUUAUUUGGUAUUUUCUUAUCACAAGUUCCCUUGCCAUUGACCAUCUCUAUUAGUAUUUUCUUAUGUUUGGAUUAUUAUUUUUUAAAUCACGAUUUUGUUAUUGUUCUAAUGCAUCUUUUGCCACUAGAAUACAAUAGGUUAUUUUUCUUCUGUUCAGACUCUUUGGUAUUUGCCAGAAUUUCCUUGCCAUUGGUGUCUCCACCUCUCCUUGCAUAGUUAGUUUUCACUAAAUGAUAGAUGUACAUGUCAACUCAUUCAAAUAACAAUUAAAGUUCCCCUUAACUCUCUGCUCAUCAGUCAAGAAAAGAGCUGCAUUUCUACAUACAAUAAACUUUUAGCUUGUGAGCUAUCUUUUUAUCAGCAAAAGGUAAGGAUAACUUGGAGUAUACAAGGUAACAGGAAUACAAGUUUUUUCCACUCAAUUAUUAAAUCUAACACCAAAAUAGGGUGUUAACACUAUAUAAUAGUGUUGGUGGGAAAAUUUCUGA